CUGACUCAGCUCCGCUCCCUCUGCAGUCACUUCCUGUUUGUGCUGUAUUUAAGCAAGAGCUCAGGCCAUGCCUCCUUGCGAAGUGUUGCCGGUUCACCUGCAUUACCAAGCGUUAGUCCAAGAGACUUUCAUGACUGACUGCCUGUGUAUGACCCUGCCUGCCUGCCUUGAUCAAAGAGGAAAAGUGAUGGAUGGCACUGAGAGAGAUUGGAUGCAUAAGAUGGGCGAGGUGCUGGACUCCAUGACCACUGUUUGGCAGAAGAGCGGCGUUGGUGCCCAGAAAUGGAAUUUCAGUGAAUUUUGAUGACUCAAAGUUCACUUUCCCAAGACAAAUAUACUUGAGGGGCGAAACCUCCCUUGGUACAACACCUCUUUUGACUUCAUCUGCUAUAUUUUUGGUUUGAUGGAUAACAUGUGUCUUUUGUUCACUUUCUGUGCAUGCACUGCACCAUCAGUGUUUACAUGAAGCGGUAGUAUUAGCAAAACAAAUCUAAUCAUAUUACACAGGGAAGAGUGUAUCUUUGCUGACAGAUAUUUAAUUACACACUCCGUAGUGCUUUUGUCAUUUAAAAUAGGUGUUAUCUCUCUGCUGAGCUGCUGUACAAUGUCAGAGGUCUUUACAAGUGAGUGAAAAUGUCCUCUGCUUUAUUCAGCAUAAGAUUUAAUAUAAAUUUAUCUUCCCUCAAAAAAGAAGGCAUUUCCAUUACAGGAUAAAAUCCAUAUUGAGUCUCAAGUCUGACACUCACGAGACAUCCCUCGAGUUAGGCUGACCUGAGAGAAUGUGUGAAGUGCAAGCGAAUCGAUUAAAACAUUUGUGUGUGUCAUAAUCGUAACUGUUGGCUUAGAGAUAUCAAUGUCAUCCCGUUGCCACGUGGGGAAUUUAAGACAUCUUUUCCUGUGAAUUUAUUCUGACAUGGAGGUGACACCGCCAUAUAUAAAGCUUCUAUUAAUAAAUUUCCGACAGCCAAACAUACUCCUCAGGGGUUUACUUGGCUUUUUUUUUAAGAUGCAAGGUUGUUGUAAUGCAUGUGUUGCUAAAAUUAUUUUUACAGACGUUUAUUUGUAGGUAACAGUAUGUAGAAAACCGUCCAAACCUUCAUCUGAAGGACCACCCUUUCUAUGGCAGUAAAUCCAAAGGCGUUUGGCUGCUGAUGGAGUUCUGGGGGACGGCAGCGAUUGCACCUCACUUUAUGAGUGAUUUAGGACGAGCUUUUCCCUCAAUGUUUUAGUCAUUACUCUUAAUCACACACUUCAGCCAUUCCGUCCGCUUCCGUCGCCCAUUUCCUCUGUCUUCAGGCUGACAUUGACGGAUCACAGACGCCCGCUGCAUCUCCUCUGAGCCAGACAAGAAUAUUAUCACUGCAUUUUUUUCCCCCCUCCAUCGAAAAGAAAAGCCUGCAGACUUUCUGUUUUUGUUUAUUUAUUUAUUUAUUACUUUGUUUAUUUUUUUCUGCCAUUGCAGUUGAAUUUAAAGCAAUUGAAAAUCAACUGCGGCAAGCACAAAAUGCAGCAGAAGUUUGUACAUCAACUGUCGCAUGCCACAUGAAUGUAAACUGUUCUCUAGCUCAUGAUAAGGAUUUUCCGCUCAGCAGAAAAUCGCAAUUAAUCCUCAAGUACUGCUCAUGGAAAUCCUAGCGAAUGUCAAGAAACAUUAAGGCUUCUUCGCCAAAAAUGAAUUCCAAUAUAUUCUGCAAGGAGCAAAUGUCAUACAGCCAUCAUUACAGGGCUAAAGAGUCGGCAGUAUUCCGAGAUCAUACACAGAUCUGUUAUCACACUUGAGGGGUAGACAUGUAGGUGACACACAGUUCAUGCGACAGAGCCCUCGGGGACAGACUGGCUUUCCGCUGAGCGUUUGACACCUUUUCCAUAUGCAAGCGCAGGGCCAGGCUGAAGCUGGAUGGAUCUGCAUUAUUAGGCUGGAAAUGGGGGUCAGUGUGUUUGACACAAGUGCGUCUCCUCUUGCUAACAGCUGGCCUUGACUACAUUACCCACAUCAAUCCACACGCUGCCACAGUCGAGAUCAAGGGCUGCUAGAUUCUGAUAUCCUGAGAGGCAGAGAACAUUUGCUGUUUUAGAUUCACUGUUUCUCAUUGCCAAACGGAUACGGCUGGGAAUCUGGUGCUCUUUCGAGUUUUCUGUCAUACAAAAAUAAACAAUAAACUGUAUUUUGGACUCUCGGCACAGCAUCGAAAAGAGUAUAUUUACAAGCGUAUGGUUUGUUUUACUUAAAAAUGUAAUGGAUUGAAUCAUUGUUGAAUAAAUGAAUGAAUAGCA
Molecule: long non-coding RNA, 2274 nt
Filed under: Danio rerio (zebrafish)
Lineage: Eukaryota; Metazoa; Chordata; Actinopteri; Cypriniformes; Danionidae
Description: lncRNA si:ch211-268b10.1 (ENSDARG00000097035.2)
Source: RNAcentral